RNAcentral lists this transfer RNA (87 nucleotides) under Minisyncoccota bacterium. RNAcentral's name for it is "tRNA-Leu". It matches the Rfam family "tRNA". From Rfam's summary of the family: Transfer RNA (tRNA) molecules are approximately 80 nucleotides in length. Their secondary structure includes four short double-helical elements and three loops (D, anti-codon, and T loops). Lineage: Bacteria; Bacillati; Minisyncoccota. The record is from RNAcentral.
GCGCGGGUGCUGUAACUGGUAGCCAGGCUAGCUUGAGGUGCUAGUGUCCGCAAGGACGUGGAGGUUCAAAUCCUCUCCCGCGCACCA